CUUAAGAGUUGAUGGAUUUAACGCAGGGCCUCUGUAGUGUGAAACACCCCUGCAAGCAGCUAAAGCAUAGUCAGGCCAAGGUAAACAAUUACAUACGUACAAUAGAACGGUAAAGCAAACCAAGGAACACAGAAAAUCUGAGUAAUCAAAUAAAGCUGGGUUAUAAGCAAUAAAAGCACAGUUUAGUAGUUAAACCCACUCUUGGGUAGCAAGACACCACGACAGAGCAUUGACUGAAUGAAGCAAGGUAUAUGGUGCUGAAAAUGAGUUGGAGCUGCUUCGAGUUUAGAAUGAGAUUUGGGAACUGGAGAGGAGAUGGGAAGGCUAGUUAACAUAGGGGAGCUGGCAAUGAGAUGGGGAUAGUAAUGAGGUGGACAUCACACCGGGCUGAAGAAUAGACAGGUGGGGCUGGUGAAGAGAUUGUGCGGUUUGGAGAUGAGAUUGAGGUUUAUAGGGACACUAUAGUCACCAGAACAACUCCAGCUUAUUGAAUUUGUUCUGGUGAGUAGAAUCAUUACCUUCAGGCUUUUUGCUGCAAACACCGUCUUUUCAGAGAAAAUGCAGUGUUUACAUUACAGCCUACUGAUAACUUCACUGGCCACUCCUCAGAUGGCUGUUAGAGA
Molecule: non-coding RNA, 623 nt
Organism: Pelobates cultripes (western spadefoot toad)
Lineage: Eukaryota; Metazoa; Chordata; Amphibia; Anura; Pelobatidae
Source: the annotation of a GenBank genome assembly